AUUGAACGCUGGCGGCAGGCCUAACACAUGCAAGUCGAACGAGUGGCGGACGGGUGAGUAAUGUCUGGGAAACUGCCCGAUGGAGGGGGAUAACUACUGGAAACGGUAGCUAAAACCGCAUACCAUCGGAUGUGUCAAGAUGGGAUUAGCUAGUAGGUGGGGUAAUGGCUAACCUAGGCGACGAUCCCUAGCUGGUCUGAGAGGAUGACGUGCCACACUGGACCUGAGACACGGUCCAGACUCCUACGGGAGGCCGCAGUGGUGAAUAUUGCGCAAUGGGCGCAAGCCUGAUGCAGCAAUGCCGCGUGUAUGAAGAAGGCCUUCGGGUUGUAAAGUACUUUCAGCGAGGAGGCGUUACUCGCACAAGAAGCAACGGCUAACUCCGUGCCAGCCGCCGCGGUAAUUC
This 406-nucleotide ribosomal RNA is filed under the name uncultured bacterium. RNAcentral describes it as "partial 16S ribosomal RNA". It matches the Rfam family "Bacterial small subunit ribosomal RNA", at positions 30 to 526 of the family's 1533-position model. The record is from RNAcentral.